RNAcentral lists this long non-coding RNA (312 nucleotides) under Pogona vitticeps (central bearded dragon). Its description in RNAcentral is "lncRNA (ENSPVIG00000015046.1)". Lineage: Eukaryota; Metazoa; Chordata; Lepidosauria; Squamata; Agamidae. The record is from RNAcentral.
GCUCUAUUUAAAGCAUCAGAAAGCCCAGCCAUGCAGCAGCAGGCUCAAAUAUUAAAUCAGUUCUAUUUAGACACACAAGAGAGGAAUGGCAAAAACAGAGGCAAUACCAUACACCAAUUAUAUUGUCCCCAUCCUUCUACUGAUUGGCUGGAUUGUGGGUUGUGUACUCAUGGUUUACUUUGUCUUCUCUUAAAAGAGGGAAAGAAGCCUUUGCAAAGGAGCUUGUAAACUUGAUGAAGAUGUCCAUCUCUCAUUUUAAAAAUAUGCAGUGGAAACAAUACUUCCAUAUUAAUAAAAUAAAGUCUUGAGACA